AAAAAAUUAGUUAAUAAAUAUAACAUAAGUUUGUCAAACUUAAAUAACUAAUUAAAUUAGUAUUUUUUG
Molecule: transfer RNA, 69 nt
Filed under: Squilla mantis
Lineage: Eukaryota; Metazoa; Arthropoda; Malacostraca; Stomatopoda; Squillidae
Description: tRNA-Asp
Source: RNAcentral